RNAcentral lists this transfer RNA (90 nucleotides) under Candidatus Methylacidithermus pantelleriae. It matches the Rfam family "tRNA". Rfam says of the family: Transfer RNA (tRNA) molecules are approximately 80 nucleotides in length. Their secondary structure includes four short double-helical elements and three loops (D, anti-codon, and T loops). The record is from Rfam by way of RNAcentral. Lineage: Bacteria; Pseudomonadati; Verrucomicrobiota; Methylacidiphilae; Methylacidiphilales; Methylacidiphilaceae.
GGAGCCGUGGCUGAGUGGCUGAAAGCAGCGGUUUGCUAAACCGUUGAAGGGGCAAAACCCCUUCCGUGGGUUCGAAUCCCACCGGCUCCG